Molecule: unclassified non-coding RNA, 693 nt
Filed under: Hevea brasiliensis (rubber tree)
Lineage: Eukaryota; Viridiplantae; Streptophyta; Magnoliopsida; Malpighiales; Euphorbiaceae
Source: RNAcentral
GCCAUGCUUCCCGAUCUCAAUCGACCCCACUCCUUUCUCUUCGUAUCGUUGGCCCUACCUCCCUCACUUCAUCUCCUAGCUCGACCAACAACAAGCUCAAGCUCAAGCGCCUUGCCCCUGGCCUAGUGGAACUCUCAUCCCCCGUCCAAGCCAUCCAGUCUCCUUCCUCUGUCCAACUUCAAGCUGAAGCCCCCACCAUUCUAACACCAAAGGCAUUCACGACGUUAUGGCCAAUCGCCUCCAUCAAUGGCUCAAACUCAAAAUUACUUGGUUUUGAAACACUCCUGACAUCCCUUCUCGGCCCAAAGGCAAACAGAAAGGGCUCGUUCAAGCUGUUGAAGGCCAAUGUCUCUGCUCAAACGACCGUGAGGAUCGGUUUUGGUGUUGACAAGAAGUUGGAAGAAGGAGAUGGGAUCAACAUGGAGGGAUUUCCAGAAUGGAGGACUAAACCUGAGGUUGUGAGGUUGCAUUUUGAGGUUCUGGCAACAGUCGACGGUGAGCGGAUCAUACCGGAGAGGGUAAUGCCGGUUCAGCCAGUGAUCAUCGAGGAUACGGUUGCACCUGAUGUUCAACUGGGUAACGUGAGUAUGUCAAAAACUCCUAUUGUUUACACCCCAUCUGAUCCAUUCACCCUGUGAUUAGUAUCUGCAGGUUUGGUUGCCUUUUGGAUCAUUGUCUGAUGGGAGGGAAAGG